This 220-nucleotide unclassified non-coding RNA is filed under the name soil metagenome. RNAcentral describes it as "partial contains 5.8S ribosomal RNA, internal transcribed spacer 2, and large subunit ribosomal RNA". The record is from RNAcentral.
AACAUCGCGCACCUGCGGGAACCUGCGGAGGGAUCAUUACAAGAAACUGUCCCGGGCUUACCCCCGGGUUCAUUUCAUAACCCUUUGUUGUCCGACUCUGUUGCCUCCGGGGCGACCCUGCCUUCGGGCGGGGGCUCCGGGUGGACAAAUUCAAACUCUUGCGUAACUUUGCAGUCUGAGUAAAUUUAAUUAAUAAAUUAAAACUUUCAACAAUGGAUCU